GACGAACGCUGGCGGCGUGCUUAACACAUGCAAGUCGAACGAUGACGACCGAGCUUGCUCGGUCUGAUUAGUGGCGAACGGGUGAGUAACACGUGAGCAACCUGCCCUUCACUCUGGGAUAACCUCGGGAAAUCGGGGCUAAUACCGGAUAUGAGCUCCUGUCGCAUGGCGGGUGUUGGAAAGUUUUCGGUGAAGGGUGGGCUCGCGGCCUAUCAGUUUGUUGGUGGGGUAGUGGCUCACCAAGGCGAUGACGGGUAGCCGGCCUGAGAGGGCGACCGGCCACACUGGGACUGAGACACGGCCCAGACUCCUACGGGAGGCAGCAGUGGGGAAUAUUGCACAAUGGGCGAAAGCCUGAUGCAGCGACGCCGCGUGAGGGAUGACGGCCUUCGGGUUGUAAACCUCUUUCAGCAGGGAAGAAGCGAAAGUGACGGUACCUGCAGAAGAAGCGCCGGCUAACUACGUG
Molecule: ribosomal RNA, 466 nt
Filed under: uncultured bacterium
Lineage: Bacteria
Description: partial 16S ribosomal RNA
Rfam family: Bacterial small subunit ribosomal RNA
Source: RNAcentral